UACGGGGGGGGCAAGCGUUGUUCGGAAUUACUGGGCGUAAAGGGCUCGUAGGCGGCCAACUAAGUCAGACGUGAAAUCCCUCGGCUUAACCGGGGAACUGCAUCUGAUACUGGAUGGCUUGAGAUUGGGAGAGGGAUGCGGAAUUCCAGGUGUAGCGGUGAAAUGCGUAGAUAUCUGGAGGAACACCGGCGGCGAAGGCGGCAUCCUGGACCAACACUGACGCUGAGGAGCGAAAGCCAGGGGAGCAAACGGG
RNAcentral lists this ribosomal RNA (253 nucleotides) under uncultured bacterium. RNAcentral's name for it is "partial 16S ribosomal RNA". It matches the Rfam family "Bacterial small subunit ribosomal RNA", at positions 524 to 776 of the family's 1533-position model. The record is from RNAcentral.